ACUUAUGGCCAUACCACUCUGAACAUGUCUGAUCUUGGAAGCUAAGCAGGGUCGGGCCUGGUUAGUACUUGAAUGGGAGACCGCCUGGGAAUACCAGGUGCUGUAAGCU
This 109-nucleotide ribosomal RNA is filed under the name Sparus aurata (gilthead seabream). Lineage: Eukaryota; Metazoa; Chordata; Actinopteri; Spariformes; Sparidae. The record is from RNAcentral.